Molecule: non-coding RNA, 1190 nt
Organism: Phalacrocorax carbo (great cormorant)
Lineage: Eukaryota; Metazoa; Chordata; Aves; Suliformes; Phalacrocoracidae
Source: RefSeq, a predicted model, not a curated record
ACCCUCCUCUCUCCCAAGGUGUCUGCCGGGUUGCAUCGCGCUCCUUCGCCAAAAGGGGGAAAGCAACCUGAAUCCCCGGCGAACACCGAGGGGAAGGCAAGAGAGAGCACCCCCCCACACACCCCCCUUCCCCUCCACAACGUUAAAAACCCGGCCGCCGACGAAGCGGGGCGAGAGGCGAUGUCAUGCUCGGAUGGCGCAAAGGCCAUAAAUAGGGAUGCCACGCAUUUCCCAGCUUUGAAUGUCUGCAGCUCGCCCCGGCACCAGGGAGCAGAAAAGCCACCGGCCUGGCUCCGGGACCCUGGGAAAUGAGUCGGCGGACAGGGCGGGAGAUAACUGCGCGGAUCUAAGGGAAGAGAGGAGAUCAUACUGGGGAAGCAGAUGGACGUACUAAAAGGAGCCAGAGCACAGGCCGCUGCAGUUUGCAGUCAGAAAAAAAAAAGGUUUUUUUAAAAAAAAUGCUCGCUGUGGCGGACUGGAGACGUGCAACCCGGGAGAGUUUUGGGAACCACAAAGUUAAUAUUAAGUUCACCGUAGCUCAUUGUAAAUCUUACAUACCGCCCCCCCCCCACCGCCCCCCCUGCAAAUCCCUUGCCUUGUUCGCUCUCUCUUCCUUGACAUAAAAUUACCUGCUACAUGACCACUCCGAGCAAAGCCCCCCGGCCUCCCUCGCCUGCCCCCGGCACCCCUCCGCCGGGGAAGCCGCCCCCGCCGCGCGGCCCCGCUCCGGGCCCGGCCCCGGCAGCGCCUGGCACCGCCGCCGCCGGGCCAAGACACCCGCCCGCCUCCGCCAGUUCUGACCCGCCCGGGGUUUGCACCCUUGUCCGUUUCCCGUUAGCAGUAGGUCUCCUGCAUGGAGAACACCACCACAAGGAAUUCCUGUUCAGCUGAACUGCCGGUUUCUGUUCAACACUCACGGGGCUGGCGAGAUCCCUCCCUCUACCCCUCCUUUCACUCAGUCACUUGUUUAAAAAUAAACUUAGGAGCCAUCUUUAUAAUUUAGUUUACUUCCGAAUAUUUUAAAUAUUAUGAAAAAAAAAAGCCAUAAACAACGCUGUUAUUCAAAACAUUUUGAGGUAUAAAACAUAAAAAGAUUUGGGUUUUCUUUUUUCCUUUUUCUUUUUUUUUUUUUUUUUUGGUUUUGUAAAAAACACACACAGUGGUUUAUUGAGUACUUACAACGUUUACAC